UUUAAUUUUAGCUAGCAAGAUUAUUUGGACUUAAAAGUCAAGUUAAUAAUCUUCUAACAAACAUUUUCUUCUGUCAUGUUUAAUUCAUAGUCACUAGGCAACACUGAAAUUUCCACUCAUUGCUUUUCAGUCAUCGACAGGAAAAGGAAUUACCGGUAAGUUGACAGGACUUUCCACACUGUUUCUGGUAGCAGCUUAUGAUUGAAUUGAUGGUAGAAGACGUGGCCCACUUAAUCAAAGAUAAUCUGUAUAGAGUGGCACCUUAACCACCACUGGUGAAAUAGAUGACUAGUGGAUGGUCAUCACUUUGCAGCUCACUUUCACUUUCUGCAGCCCAUCUCUUCUCAUCCACAAUCAUUGUCUUUGGAGGAAUGGUGACAGUGCAGUCCUCAUGGCUGGGCAGGUCUACUGCAUGUUGACAGCUGAUACUUGUUCUCUAUUUACUCCAAGAGGCCUACUACACAUUGUACCUCAGUUAUGACUGUACUCAUGCUGGCUUCUAUGAUGUUAAUUUCCUUUACCUGCACUGUGUUAAACUUGGUCAAUUCUGUUACUGUCGAACACCAACAGAUGAAAAUAAGAUUAAGCUGAUCCUGCCAACAUUGUGACAUAAGCGGUCCAGUGUCCAAUAUCUCACUCU
Saccostrea echinata is the source of this 640-nucleotide long non-coding RNA. RefSeq lists it as uncharacterized. Lineage: Eukaryota; Metazoa; Mollusca; Bivalvia; Ostreida; Ostreidae. The transcript is spliced from 3 exons. The record is from RefSeq and is a predicted model, not a curated record.